AAUGAAGAGCCUGAUUAAAGGAUUAUCGUGAUAGGAUAAAAUAUGUAGUACAAAUUAAACUACCUUCAUUA
Molecule: transfer RNA, 71 nt
Filed under: Malagasitermes milloti
Lineage: Eukaryota; Metazoa; Arthropoda; Insecta; Blattodea; Termitidae
Description: tRNA-Ile
Source: RNAcentral